Molecule: unclassified non-coding RNA, 370 nt
Filed under: Hevea brasiliensis (rubber tree)
Lineage: Eukaryota; Viridiplantae; Streptophyta; Magnoliopsida; Malpighiales; Euphorbiaceae
Source: RNAcentral
UAAAAUCGCUAUGAUAUAAAAGAAAAGCUUUUUAUAUAAUAAUAUCAGUUAAAUUACAAUGGAAUUGGAGUACACACUUGCAAAAGUUGGACCCAAAAAAAAAAAAAGGACAUUAAACCUCCACGAAUUUCCACUAUUCUAACUGAAAUCUGCAUUAACCCAGAGUAAAUGGAAUACAAAAUACAAACACCUCACAGCAUCAAAAAUCCAACUAAAUUCUAAGGGUAUGUAUGACCCUCCAGGAGUUCCAUCUAUGGCCAGACACAGGAAUAAACAUUACAUUGCAGCCCUAAAUCAGUGAUUUGAAAAUCAUUCCAAUUCUGGUAAAAAGUCUGGUAGGCAGAACUCUGUUCUUGAAUUUAUUUUUUUA